Molecule: ribosomal RNA, 454 nt
Filed under: uncultured rhizosphere oomycete
Lineage: Eukaryota; Oomycota
Description: eukaryotic LSU rRNA
Rfam family: Eukaryotic large subunit ribosomal RNA
Source: RNAcentral
GUGCGAGACCGAUAGCGAACAAGUACCGUGAGGGAAAGAUGAAAAGAACUUUGAAAAGAGAGUUAAAGAGUACCUGAAACUGCUGAAAGGGAAUCGAAUCGUUUCCAGUGUCUAUAAUCCGUGGCAUAUUUCAUUGGCGAGUGGGUGCGUGCAGCGUUUUGGAAGUGGUUUUCCUCUCCAUACGUUGUUGUGCGUUUGCUUGCUGGUGCCCUGUGUCGCGGUGGGACGUCUGAGUCAGUUUGAAUGCUGCGGGAAAUGGCUGCUAGGGAGGUAGGUCACUUGUGGCUGUUAUAUCCUGGUGUGCUAGUCGUCGUGGUUGAGACUGAGGUGCCUACAACGUGCUUUUGAGUCUGCGGGACUCUCGUUCGGUUGUUUGCUUUGACAGCUUGCUGUGUUGGUAGACAUAUUGGGCGAUUGAGAUCUGUAGUAACUUGUUGCUGUUCGGGACUUUGAA